GAGUUUGAUCGUGGCUCAGGAUGAACGCUGGCGGCGUGCCUAAUACAUGCAAGUCGAGCGAACGGACGAGAAGCUUGCUUCUCUGAUGUUAGCGGCGGACGGGUGAGUAACACGUGGAUAACCUACCUAUAAGACUGGGAUAACUUCGGGAAACCGGAGCUAAUACCGGAUAAUAUUUUGAACCGCAUGGUUCAAAAGUGAAAGACGGUCUUGCUGUCACUUAUAGAUGGAUCCGCGCUGCAUUAGCUAGUUGGUAAAGUACGGCUUACCAAGGCAACGAUGCAUAGCCGACCUGAGAGGGUGAUCGGCCACACUGGAACUGAGACACGGUCCAGACUCCUACGGGAGGCAGCAGUAGGGAUCUUCGCAAUGGGCGAAAGCCUGACGGAGCAACGCCGCGUGAGUGAUGAAGGUCUUCGGAUCGUAAAACUCUGUUAUUA
This 440-nucleotide ribosomal RNA is filed under the name uncultured microorganism. RNAcentral describes it as "bacterial SSU rRNA". It matches the Rfam family "Bacterial small subunit ribosomal RNA", at positions 9 to 441 of the family's 1533-position model. The record is from RNAcentral.